AGAGUUUGAUUAUGGCUCAGGAUGAACGCUAGCUACAGGCUUAACACAUGCAAGUCGAGGGGCAGCAUUGGGGUAGCAAUACCUCAGAUGGCGACCGGCGCACGGGUGAGUAACACGUAUCCAACCUGCCGCUUACUCGGGGAUAGCCUUUCGAAAGAAAGAUUAAUACCCGAUGGUAUAAAGAGUUCGCAUGUUCUCUUUAUUAAAGAAUUUCGGUAAGCGAUGGGGAUGCGUUCCAUUAGAUAGUUGGCGGGGUAACGGCCCACCAAGUCUACGAUGGAUAGGGGUUCUGAGAGGAAGGUCCCCCACAUUGGAACUGAGACACGGUCCAAACUCCUACGGGAGGCAGCAGUGAGGAAUAUUGGUCAAUGGACGAGAGUCUGAACCAGCCAAAGUAGCGUGAAGGAUGACUGCCCUAUGGGUUGUAAACUUCUUUUAUAAGGGAAUAAAGUGAGGGACGUGUCCCUUUUUGUAUGUACCUUAUGAAUAAGGAUCGGCUAACUCCGUGCCAGCCGCCGC
This 519-nucleotide ribosomal RNA is filed under the name uncultured bacterium. RNAcentral describes it as "bacterial SSU rRNA". It matches the Rfam family "Bacterial small subunit ribosomal RNA", at positions 8 to 518 of the family's 1533-position model. The record is from RNAcentral.